ACUCAAAUGAAUUGACGGGGGCCCGCACAAGCAGUGGAGCAUGUGGUUUAAUUCGAUGCUACGCGAAGAACCUUACCUGGGCUCGAAAUGUAGAGGACGACAUCAGAGAUGAUGUUUCUCGAAAGGGUCUCUAUAUAGGUGCUGCAUGGCUGUCGUCAGCUCGUGCCGUGAGGUGUUUGGUUAAGUCCAGCAACGAGCGCAACCCUUAUUGUUAGUUGCCAACGCGUCAAGGCGGGAACUCUAACAAGACUGCCUAGGUUAACUAGGAGGAAGGUGAGGAUGACGUCAAGUCCGCAUGGCCUUUAUGUCCAGGGCUACACACGUGCUACAAUGGUCGCCACAGAAGGCAGCAGAACCGCAAGGUGAAGCAAAUCCUAGUAAAGGCGAUCUCAGUUCAGAUUGCAGUCUGCAACUCGGCUGCAUGAAGUUGGAAUUGCUAGUAAUGGCGUGUCAGCAACAACGCCGUGAAUACGUUCCCGGGCCUUGUACACACCGCCCGU
RNAcentral lists this ribosomal RNA (500 nucleotides) under uncultured bacterium. RNAcentral describes it as "partial 16S ribosomal RNA". It matches the Rfam family "Bacterial small subunit ribosomal RNA", at positions 899 to 1397 of the family's 1533-position model. The record is from RNAcentral.